CAAGGUUAACCGAAUAGGGGAGCCGGAGGGAAACCGAGUCUUAAUUGGGCGUUAAGUUGCAGGGUAUAGACCCGAAACCCGGUGAUCUAGCCAUGGGCAGGUUGAAGGUUGGGUAACACUAACUGGAGGACCGAACCGACUAAUGUUGAAAAAUUAGCGGAUGACCUGUGGCUGGGGGUGAAAGGCCAAUCAAACCGGGAGAUAGCUGGUUCUCCCCGAAAGCUAUUUAGGUAGCGCCUCGUGAAUUCAUCUCCGGGGGUAGAGCACUGUUUCGGCUAGGGGGCCAUCCCGGCUUACCAACCCGAUGCAAACUGCGAAUACCGGAGAAUGUUAUCACGGGAGACACACGGCGGGUGCUAACGUCCGUCGUGAAGAGGGAAACAACCCAGACCGCCAGCUAAGGUCCCAAAGUCAUGGUUAAGUGGGAAACGAUGUGGGAAGGCCCAGACAGCCAGGAUGUUGGCUUAGAAGCAGCCAUCAUUUAAAGAAAGCGUAAUAGCUCACUGGUCGAGUCGGCCUGCGCGGAAGAUGUAACGGGGCUAAACCAUGCACCGAAGCUGCGGCAGCGACGCUGAUGCGUUGUUGGGUAGGGGAGCGUUCUGUAAGCCUGCGAAGGUGGCCUGUGAGGGUUGCUGGAGGUAUCAGAAGUGCGAAUGCUGACAUAAGUAACGAUAAAGCGGGUGAAAAGCCCGCUCGCCGGAAGACCAAGGGUUCCUGUCCAACGUUAAUCGGGGCAGGGUGAGUCGACCCCUAAGGCGAGGCCGAAAGGCGUAGUCGAUGGGAAACGGGUUAAUAUUCCCGUACUUGGUGUUACUGCGAAGGGGGGACGGAGAAGGCUAUGUUGGCCGGGCGACGGUUGUCCCGGUUUAAGCGUGUAGGUGUGUGUUCCAGGUAAAUCCGGUUCACUUUAACACUGAGGCGUGAUGACGAGGCACUACGGUGCUGAAGCAACAAAUGCCCUGCUUCCAGGAAAAGCCUCUAAGCAUCAGGUAACAUCAAAUCGUACCCCAAACCGACACAGGUGGUCAGGUAGAGAAUACCAAGGCGCUUGAGAGAACUCGGGUGAAGGAACUAGGCAAAAUGGUGCCGUAACUUCGGGAGAAGGCACGCUGACACGUAGGUGAAGUGAUUUACUCAUGGAGCUGAAGUCAGUCGAAGAUACCAGCUGGCUGCAACUGUUUAUUAAAAACACAGCACUGUGCAAACACGAAAGUGGACGUAUACGGUGUGACGCCUGCCCGGUGCCGGAAGGUUAAUUGAUGGGGUCAGCGCAAGCGAAGCUCCUGAUCGAAGCCCCGGUAAACGGCGGCCGUAACUAUAACGGUCCUAAGGUAGCGAAAUUCCUUGUCGGGUAAGUUCCGACCUGCACGAAUGGCGUAAUGAUGGCCAGGCUGUCUCCACCCGAGACUCAGUGAAAUUGAACUCGCUGUGAAGAUGCAGUGUACCCGCGGCAAGACGGAAAGACCCCGUGAACCUUUACUAUAGCUUGACACUGAACAUUGAGCCUUGAUGUGUAGGAUAGGUGGGAGGCUUUGAAGUGUGGACGCCAGUCUGCAUGGAGCCGACCUUGAAAUACCACCCUUUAAUGUUUGAUGUUCUAACGUGGACCCGUGAUCCGGGUUGCGGACAGUGUCUGGUGGGUAGUUUGACUGGGGCGGUCUCCUCCUAAAGAGUAACGGAGGAGCACGAAGGUUGGCUAAUCCUGGUCGGACAUCAGGAGGUUAGUGCAAUGGCAUAAGCCAGCUUGACUGCGAGCGUGACGGCGCGAGCAGGUGCGAAAGCAGGUCAUAGUGAUCCGGUGGUUCUGAAUGGAAGGGCCAUCGCUCAACGGAUAAAAGGUACUCCGGGGAUAACAGGCUGAUACCGCCCAAGAGUUCAUAUCGACGGCGGUGUUUGGCACCUCGAUGUCGGCUCAUCACAUCCUGGGGCUGAAGUAGGUCCCAAGGGUAUGGCUGUUCGCCAUUUAAAGUGGUACGCGAGCUGGGUUUAGAACGUCGUGAGACAGUUCGGUCCCUAUCUGCCGUGGGCGCUGGAGAACUGAGGGGGGCUGCUCCUAGUACGAGAGGACCGGAGUGGACGCAUCACUGGUGUUCGGGUUGUCAUGCCAAUGGCACUGCCCGGUAGCUAAAUGCGGAAGAGAUAAGUGCUGAAAGCAUCUAAGCACGAAACUUGCCCCGA
This 2178-nucleotide ribosomal RNA is filed under the name Salmonella enterica. Its description in RNAcentral is "partial 23S ribosomal RNA". It matches the Rfam family "Bacterial large subunit ribosomal RNA", at positions 641 to 2802 of the family's 2925-position model. The record is from RNAcentral. Lineage: Bacteria; Pseudomonadati; Pseudomonadota; Gammaproteobacteria; Enterobacterales; Enterobacteriaceae.